Molecule: long non-coding RNA, 2766 nt
Filed under: Carassius auratus (goldfish)
Lineage: Eukaryota; Metazoa; Chordata; Actinopteri; Cypriniformes; Cyprinidae
Description: lncRNA (ENSCARG00000038670.1)
Source: RNAcentral
GUUUCUCUCUGGUCUGCUAUAAUUGCAUGGAUCAACUAGAAGGUCCUUGUAAAGAACAGAUGGCAUGUGACCAUGAACAAAGCAAGUGUGCAAGUAGAAUAACAUUAGAAAUUGAAAACACAGAACAAUGUAAGUGCAGAUUCCCUGGUUUCAUUUACUGGUACAGCUAAAGUGAUUUUUUCACAUGACACAAAGCAUCUUAAUGUUUUCUUAUUUCUUUUUUGACAAGUGAUAUUGUUGCCUUAUUUCUUGGCAUAAUUUAGACCAAUUUCCUGAAAAACUAGGUAGAAGUUUGAUAGUAGAUGCAUAUCACUGGACAUUGUUGAAGGAAUAGCGUGAUGUACCAAACGACGCUAACUUCCUCAAAGUCCACAUCUUUGAACCAUUUAACAGAAAUGAAAGAGCUUUAAUUUCGUAUCUGAAUUACACCAAAACCAAAACUGGUACAUACAGGCCGGAUUGUUGAAAAGAAAGUUGCUAUUGAAAUAGAUUUACAUUUUGUCAUUAUCUAACCUUUGUGCAUUAUGCAUUUAUGCAUUAUAAACCAGAAAUGGUCAUUUAUUCAUGUUUCUGUAUUAUUAAGGUAUAGUACAUGCAGAGACCACUGAGACAAGUUGUGCAAAGCCAGAUGAAUGUGAAUCGUUGUCCUUUAGCAAACACAUCUGGAGCAAAUCAGUUUUUGUCCAGUGCUGCGACACAGACUUGUGUAAUGAACAAAACGACACCGAUUAGGAUUAUUAUUAUGAGAAUGGGAUGAGAUGUUUCACUUGUGACGAGGAGGACUGUUCACACACAGUGAGUUGUCAGGGAAAUGAAGACUACUGCUUCACUGCAUACAAAAAUCACUCUCAAUAUCAGCAUCAAUACCAACCACAGACUGUAAAAGGAUGUGCCUCUACAUAUAUCUGUUAUAAUGCAACAGAACAGUUAGAGCUGGGUGAAAACAUCAAAUGUUGUUCAGGGAAUCUGUGUAACGGUGUUCAGAACGUCUCUCAGAGCUUCCUGUUCCUCUGCUGUUCUCUGCUCUCCUUCAUCCUGCUGCACUGAAUCCAGCAGCAAAGACCCUUCACAUCAGCCACAAUCUAAUUAAUUACUUAAAAAAACAAACCAUUCAUUUUCUGAGAUCAGUUGGAUAUCUUUUAAUCCAUGAAAUAAAAACUAAAUACUGGGGGAGUUCUAGAACAAUACAAAUGUUGGAUUAUUUUUAUUUAACAAUAAAUAAAAAAAAAGAACAAGCAUGGUUCAUCAUCAUGUAUUACACAAACGAUGUGCACUAUGCAUAAUUAUAAUAUUAAAAUAAAUAAAUAAAUAAAACUCCAACAAAAAAUCAGCCAUAUGUUUCCAGACAUGAAGCCCCAGUGUUGCAUAAAAGGUUUAGACUAGUUUUACAAUCAUUAUUUAUCCUCAUGCCAUGAAGAUUUGCUUUUGGUUGUUAAAUUAGAAAGAAGCAAGUCAAGAUUUUUUCCUUGCAAGACAGAAAAGCCCACUAUUCUCAGCAAGACACUGUGCAAACUUUAAAAAUAUAUACAAGACAAUACACAGAGACACUUGCAUGACCAUAAAUCCGCUGCUGCUUGUGCAAAAUCAUUAUAGUAAACAUUACAGUGUUUGGAGCUACAAAGGCACUUCUGUUUGAAUGAUAUAUCUAAAAGUGUGUGUAAAUCUCAAAUUGCAUUUACUCAUUUGUCAUGCCUUCUCCACAUUUUUUAACACAAAUUUGACAAGACUCACUCUUUAUUCAGGAAAAUGCAGCUGCUCCCAUGAAUAACUUUGAUCUUCUUGCAUAUUACUUAGUAAUUCCUAUUUUAUAUCCUAUUUUAUUCCUGUUUUAUCCCUUGCUUUCACAAUGUGCAAUCCACCCUAUCUGCUCUAAACAGAUUCGAAAAUUACUAAUAUCACAGAAUUUAUGAUGGAUAGUAUGUACAUUGCACAGGCCUUGUUUUUCUUCAAGCCAUGAGAAAUUAGAUGUCCUGUGUAUCCAGCAGGGGGCAACGGCUGAUCAUUGUAUCUAUUCAUUUAAUCCAAUAGUGACCGUAAAAGGGAAAAAACUUCCUGCAAAUAUGGAAAAGAUAAACAAAUAUGUGCAGUUUGACGUGAUUAGUGCAAUUUGUCACAUGACCAGAGCAGUUUAUGAUGAUGAUUGCUGCAUCAAAGCUCUAAAAUGAAAGGCUAGUAAAGUAUGUUAACAUAAUGAUAUGGCAAAGAUUUUUUUUCUACACACUGUGUUUAAGCUGGCUAGUAUUAAUAAAUGAAUUAAUAUAUAUUCAGUUUUGUUGAGUGGUCAUUGAAUGAGUAAACAUCUUGAUGGGAGAACAGUCAACAAUAUAAAUCCAGUUGUAGCUGUUAGUGAAAACUAAAAGUUCAAACGUUACAAAAAUGUACAAUAUUUAUGUUGCAAUACUGGUAGCACUAAUAUUAAGAUUUGAUUAUAUAUUUUACAAAAAAAAAACAAUUUUGAAAAACUUUGAUUGUAUUUUUUGUCUUUCAUCUCAGUAUUCCUAUCAAUGUUGUAUAACUUUUUUUUUAUGUUAGCAUAAUAUUAACUGUUUUUUGAAUGUGAUCAAACAGUUUAAAAUAGCUGGGCUAAGAUAUAAAACAUUUUUUAUGACUGCAGAGAUAUGUUAAUUCAGUAUAUACAUUUUCCCAUUGGUCGCAAUUUUCACCAAAAAAAAAUCUAAAAAUAAUUAUUGAUUAUUUCAAAGGGUUACUAAUGACACAUUAUUUUGUUAUUUUCAUGUCUGGGAAAAAUGUGUAAUUAAACGGGUU